AUUUGUUGUGGACAUAUAAAAUGUAUGUGAGUGUCAAUACCACCGGCUGUUACAAUAAGUCCUUCUCCUGCUAUGGCUUCUGUUGACGCACCUACAAUCAUAUUAGGAUUAAUAUUAUCCAUUACAUCAGGAUUUCCAGCUUUACCAAUUCCUUUUAUAAAUCCAUCUUUAAUUCCUAUAUCAGCUUUAUAUAUACCUGUAUAAUCAAGAAUGAGUGCAUUUGUUAUUACUAAAUCAAGUGCACCUUCUUCGCUAGAUGUUUUUACACAUUGACCCAUACCAUCACG
RNAcentral lists this small RNA (287 nucleotides) under chicken gut metagenome. RNAcentral's name for it is "5' ureB small RNA". It matches the Rfam family "5' ureB small RNA". The record is from RNAcentral.